Molecule: ribosomal RNA, 782 nt
Filed under: uncultured Thelephora
Lineage: Eukaryota; Fungi; Basidiomycota; Agaricomycetes; Thelephorales; Thelephoraceae
Description: eukaryotic LSU rRNA
Rfam family: 5.8S ribosomal RNA (bases 247-401)
Source: RNAcentral
CGGCCGGUACAAAAGCGGAGAUGAUCACGUGCUCUUUAUAGGUAUUAAGCCGUCAUCGAGCUGUUGCUGGCCACCCCCCUCACGGGGGGAGCAAGUGCACGCUCUGGCUACCCAUCCACUCCCCUCUGUGCACCCUCCGUAGUUCUAUGGGCUAGAGGAAAGACUCCGUCCUCCUUCCCGUAGUUCUGCGUCACCACAUCCACUCUGUAACAAAGUCUUAUGGAACGUUUGAUGGCAAUGCAAUACAACUUUCAGCAACGGAUCUCUUGGCUCUCGCAUCCAUGAAGAACGCAGCGAAAUGCGAUAAGUAAUGUGAAUUGCAGAAUUCAGUGAAUCAUCCAAUCUUUGAACGCACCUUGCGCCCCUUGGUCAUUCCGAGGGGCAUGCCUGUUUGAGUAUCAUGAACACUUCAACUCUCACGGUUCGCCGUGGUGAGCUUGGACUUUGGGGGGUUUGCUGGCCUUUGCGGUCGGCUCCUCUCAAACGGAUCAGCUUGCCAGCGUUUGGGGGCAUCGUAGUGUGAUAACUAUCUACGCCUACCGUCGUCUGCCAUGUAACCUUUGGUAACGGAGGUUCGCUGGGGCUUAUGAAAGCCCGAGGAACGGCAUUUUGGAACGUUCGAUCUCAAAUCAGGUAAGGACUACCCGCUGAACUUAAGCAUAUCAUAAGCCCGGAGGAAAGAGGCGCCCUCUUGUUCAUAUAGAGGGAAGUAACCUAUCCACUUAGGUGGAGGAGUGCUGUCUCUUUGUUGAUAUAGGAGGAGAGUACGUCUCUGCAUUGUA